Molecule: long non-coding RNA, 2698 nt
Organism: Brassica napus (rape)
Lineage: Eukaryota; Viridiplantae; Streptophyta; Magnoliopsida; Brassicales; Brassicaceae
Exons: 5
Source: RefSeq, a predicted model, not a curated record
GGAAUUGUUUCUGAUUGGACACACAUUCAACCUCCUCUCCACGCUUUAUCUCUCACCUAUCUUCUUCUCUUUCUUUCACCACCACCACCCUCCCAUCCGCUAUCUCACCACCAUCAUCAGUUCUCAGAUCCGACGCCACCACCACCGUCUCGUCAUAAUCACCACUCAGCUCUCUGAUUUCGUUUUCUCUAAUUUGAGAAAGAAGCACGAGGCGGUCACCAGUGGCAGUGCUUUUACCAAAUCUAAAAGCAUUGAUUCAGGGCUGGUAAAUCUGCUGGAGUUAAAGUGAUGGAGAACAUACUACCAAUUGACUUGGUUGGGCUCUAAAUGACUCGGAAUCCCACAGUGGUGGGUUUUUUAAGCGAGAAGGGAUAACCAAAUAUCACUAGGUUAUGCAGAUGUGGUGUGGAGAUGGCAGAGGAAGCUAGGGUGGUGGUAGAUUUGGAGCCUAGCAAGAACAAAAAGAGAAAGGUAGUCGUGAGCAGUCAUGACAGAUGAUAAGCUUGAUGGUGGUGGAAUAGCAGAGACAAUGGUGAGGUUUGAUGGUGGCUGUUCAAAGACGAUGUGGUAGAAGAAGAAGAAAUCCGUUGACGGCGAAGAGUUUAGAUGUAGGGCUAAUUUUUUUUAAGGUUAGGCUGUUUUAUGUUUAGAUUAGUAAACCGGGUCUGGUUUACUUAAUUUUUUAAUGUUGGUUUAGUAUUGUAAAACUGAUUUUAUUAAUAAAAAAAUUUUCAUUUUAAUUAUAAAUAAAUAUUCGAUUUAAUUUUCAGCUAUUUAAUUUUAACAAAUUAAUUUUAUUAAUUUCUUCAUUUAAUUAAUUAAUUCAAUUAAUAAUUUAAUUAUUUUAUUUUUAACUAUAGCAUUAUAUCUUUGUCAUAAUAAAAUAUUUUAUAGCACUAAGGAAAAACCAUAGAAAAAUAUAUAAUAGCAAAAAUGAGAUGCUACUAAAAUGUAUUAAUGUAGCGAAAAUAAAACGCUAUAAUAUCUCUAUUUAUUAUAGCUCAUGAAAAAACGCUACGAUAAGAGGUGGGUCAACCGUAGCUGCGGUAGAUCUAGCAUUUGUGAAAAUUCUACGAAAACCUUGUGGUACCAUUUUCGAUGUGCUACUAAUUAAUGUCGAUAUUUCUUGUAGUGAACCUACGCUCCUUUGCUCCUUUCCAUUGUCUGUGCAUUCGUAUUCAUUCACAGUUGAGUGAUAUUGUUUGAUUAUAUUCACCUUAGUCUCUACCUCCACCGUGUACCAACCAGGCGACCAUCAACCAUGCAUAUCACUUUUAUUCGGAUUCUAUUGACGCUGACUCUUAGCGCGUAACAAACUAUGUAGGAUCCACACUCCAAGACUGUGCAUGUGAUGACAUUCAAGAUCGACUAUAUAUAUAGUCUUCACUCGAUCAAAAUAUUGUAUGGACCAUCAUGAAUCAAAUUAUUGACUCUAACACUGCUGGACUCAAGAUUGAGUUCCAAUAGUUUCGGCGGGCCUACUUAAUUAACAGUCAGUCCAAGAGCUUAAGGGCCCUCUUCGCUAAUUAAAUUCUACUAGUUGGCAUUUCUAACUAUAAAAGUGGUUCGUCCGUAAAUUAUUGUUUUCCAUUAAAUGGAAACAAGCACGUAGGUGAUAGUUAAUGUGAUGUUUUAUACUUAUCACGUGAAAACCAUCGGUUUCUCGUCCAUAUGAACCAAAUUUUCACAAAACAAUGUUCGAUCGAGUGAGUAAAUGGAAACACGAGAGCAACACAAGACAAUUUGUUCACCUGGUGUUCACUGAUCUACUCACCAGGAAGGGAGUCUGUAUCCCUCAAUAGCUUCACUAUCAAAAAUCCAACCAAGGUUACAAGAUCAACAAUGGUGAUUCUUCUAAAACAUAGAGAUUACACAAGAACUUAACGAGCUUAUCGUUUCCUCUGUGAAGUCGAAAACUCACUGCCGAAAUGGUUCGAUCUGACCGUAUACCGCCUCUGCAACUCUAUUGUGAUUCACCCUCAUGAUCUCAUGCUAAGUCUUCUUCUCUCUUGUUCUCUGAUCUUGAUCAUCUCUCUCAAUUUGAAUCUGGCCAUUGUAACAACUUUAUCCACAAUCAGAUGUGAAACGAAUCGUCUCACUUAUACAUGAUAGCAUAUGGGCUGAGAUUUGGGCUUUUUCUUUUUGCAGGUUUCGGAUGAGCCAAAACUGAGACACACAUGACGAUUAGCCAGAAGAGAAAAAAACCAUUUCGGAGUUUGGCUGAAUCAGAUCCACAAAAACUACAGGCAAACUCGUAAAAAAAAGACAAAUCAGAACAAAGCACAAAUAAAUUAUACAAAACCUUGAAAACAAAUGGACUAUUAAAUGCAAGACUGGCAGGUAAAUAACACAUAUUUGUUGGACCCAGUUUCAGUCAAUACAUUAAUGGGUCACGAUCAAUGAUAUGGGCUGCGAAGAGUCUAAGCACAUAGCGAGCACGCGAGCUCCAGACAGAGACUUCGAAGAACCGGAGAUCGCGGAACAGUUGCGAAGAUCACGGGAGCAGCCUGUUAUAAGAGGAGAUACACAUUGAAAACCCUAGAGAGAGCUACACCCAUAUUUCGACCUUGUUUUCAUCCAUCUUUAGAUCCUUUCUCUUAACGAUCUCGUUUGUAAUAUUCGAUCUUGUUUAACUCAUUGUAUUCUAUCUUAUUCAUCAAUAAAAAUCCAUUUAUAUCUACUGAAAACUGAUUACAUC